This 497-nucleotide ribosomal RNA is filed under the name uncultured bacterium. RNAcentral describes it as "partial 16S ribosomal RNA". It matches the Rfam family "Bacterial small subunit ribosomal RNA", at positions 29 to 507 of the family's 1533-position model. The record is from RNAcentral.
UAUUAACGCUGGCGGCGUGCCUAAUACAUGCAAGUCGAGCGAACAGACGAUGAUCUUGCUCCUCUGACGUUAGCGGCGGACGGGUGAGUAACACGUGUAUAACCUACCUAUAAGACUGGUAUAACUUCGGAAAACCGGAGCUAAUACCGUAUAAUAUAUUGAACCGCAUGGUUCAAUAGUGAAAUACGGUUUUGCUGUCACUUAUAGAUGGAUCCGCGCCUCAUUAGCUAGUUGGUAAGGUAACGGCUUACCAAGGCAACGAUGCGUAGCCGACGGGAGAGGGUGAUAGGCCACACUGGAGCUGAGACGCGGUCAAGAGUCCUACGGGAGGGAGCAGUAGGGAAUCUUCCGCAAUGGGCGAAAGCUUGACGGAGUGACGGCGAGUGAGUGAUGAAGGUCUUCGGAUCGUAAAACUGUGUUAUGAGGGAAGAACAAAUGUGUAAGUAACUAUGCACGUCUUGACGGUAACUAAUAAGAAAGCAACGGCUAACUACGUG